UACGGAGGGUGCAAGCGUUGUCCGGAUUUAUUGGGUUUAAAGGGUGCGUAGGCGGCUCGUUGCGUCGGCUGUGAAAACCCGCAGCUCAACUGUGGGCUUGCAGCCGAUACGGGCGGGCUUGGAUUCGGUAGGGGAGACUGGAAUUCCUGGUGUAGCGGUGAAAUGCGCAGAUAUCAGGAGGAACACCGGUGGCGAAGGCGGGUCUCUGGGCCGAUAUCGACGCUGAGGAGCGAAAGCGUGGGGAGCGAACAGG
This 253-nucleotide ribosomal RNA is filed under the name uncultured bacterium. RNAcentral describes it as "partial 16S ribosomal RNA". It matches the Rfam family "Bacterial small subunit ribosomal RNA", at positions 524 to 776 of the family's 1533-position model. The record is from RNAcentral.